UGGCGGUAUGCCUAACACAUGCAAGUCGAACGAUGUCUUCGGACAUAGUGGCGGACGGGUGAGUAACGCGUGAGAAUCUGCCUUAAGGAUGGGGAUAACAGUGGGAAACGACUGCUAAUACCCAAUAUGCGGAGACGUGAAAAUAAUUUGCCCUGAGAGGAGCUCGCGUCCGAUUAGUUAGUUGGUGAGGUAAAAGCUUACCAAGGCAGCGAUCGGUAGCUGGUCUGAGAGGAUGAGCAGCCACACUGGGACUGAGACACGGCCCAGACUCCUACGGGAGGCAGCAGUGGGGAAUUUUCCGCAAUGGGCGAAAGCCUGACGGAGCAAUACCGCGUGAGGGAGGAAGGCUUUUGGGUUGUAAACCUCUUUUGUUAAGGAAGAAGCAAGUGACGGUACUUAACGAAUAAGCAUCGGCUAACUCCGUGCCAGCAGCCGCGGUAAUACGGAGGAUGCAAGCGUUAUCCGGAAUCAUUGGGCGUAAAGCGUCCGCAGGUGGUUCAUCAAGUCUGCUGUUAAAGACAGAAGCUCAACUUCUGGUCGGCGGUGGAAACUGGUGAACUAGAGUACGGUAGGGGUUGAGGGAAUUCCCAGUGUAGCGGUGAAAUGCGUAGAUAUUGGGAAGAACACCAGUGGCGAAGGCGCUCAACUGGGCCGUAACUGACACUCAGGGACGAAAGCUAGGGUAGCGAAAGGGAUUAGAUACCCCUGUAGUCUUAGCUGUAAACGAUGAACGCUAGGCGUUGCUUGUAUCGACCCGAGCAGUGCCGUAGCCAACGCGUUAAGUGUUCCGCCUGGGGAGUACGCACGC
This 808-nucleotide ribosomal RNA is filed under the name uncultured marine bacterium. RNAcentral describes it as "bacterial SSU rRNA". It matches the Rfam family "Bacterial small subunit ribosomal RNA", at positions 37 to 889 of the family's 1533-position model. The record is from RNAcentral.